GAUGAACGCUGGCGGCGUGCCUAAUACAUGCAAGUCGAGCGAACGGACGAGAAGCUUGCUUCUCUGAUGUUAGCGGCGGACGGGUGAGUAACACGUGGAUAACCUACCUAUAAGACUGGGAUAACUUCGGGAAACCGGAGCUAAUACCGGAUAAUAUUUUGAACCGCAUGGUUCAAAAGUGAAAGACGGUCUUGCUGUCACUUAUAGAUGGAUCCGCGCUGCAUUAGCUAGUUGGUAAGGUAACGGCUUACCAAGGCAACGAUGCAUAGCCGACCUGAGAGGGUGAUCGGCCACACUGGAACUGAGACACGGUCAAGACUCCUACGGGACGCAGCAGUAGGGAAUCUUACGCAAUGGGCGAAAACAUGACGGAGCAACGCCGCGUGAGUGAUGAAGGUCUUCGGAGCGUAAAACUCUGUUAUUAGGGAAGAACAUAUGUGUACGUAACUGUGCACAUCUUGACGGUACCUAAUCAGAAAGCCACGGCUAACUACGUG
RNAcentral lists this ribosomal RNA (497 nucleotides) under uncultured bacterium. RNAcentral describes it as "partial 16S ribosomal RNA". It matches the Rfam family "Bacterial small subunit ribosomal RNA", at positions 28 to 507 of the family's 1533-position model. The record is from RNAcentral.